This 666-nucleotide ribosomal RNA is filed under the name uncultured bacterium. Its description in RNAcentral is "bacterial SSU rRNA". It matches the Rfam family "Bacterial small subunit ribosomal RNA", at positions 28 to 707 of the family's 1533-position model. The record is from RNAcentral.
GAGGAGCUUUGGCGGCGCGCCUAACACAUGCAAGUCGAACGGUUAAGGCGCCUUCGGGCGCAUAUAAAGUGGCGAACGGCUGAGUAACACGUGGGCAACCUGCCCCUCGCACCGGGACAGCCUCGGGAAACCGUGGAUGAUACCGGAUACUCCGCCUCCCCCGCAUGGGGAGGGCGGGAAAGCCCAGAUGGCGAGGGAUGGGCCCGCGGCCUGUUAGCUAGUUGGCGGGGCAGCGGCCCACCAAGGCGAUGAUGGGUAGCCGGGUUGAGAGACCGACCGGCCAGAUUGGGACUGAGACACGGCCCACACUCCUACGGGAGGCAGCAGUGGGGAAUCUUGCACAAUGGGCGGAAGCCUGAUGCAGCGACCCCGCGUGCGGGAAGAAGGCCUUCGGGCUGUAACCCGCUUUCAGCAGGCACGAGGCGAAAGUGACGGUACCUGCAGAAGAAGCCCCGGCUAACUACGUGCCAGCAGCCGCGGUAAUACGUAGGCGGCAAGCGUUAUCCGGAUUCAUUGGGCGUAAAGCGCGCGUAGGCGGCCAGCCUGGUCGGGAGUCAAAUCCGGGGGCUCAACCCCCGUCCGCUCGCGAUACCGGCCGGCUUGAGUCUGGCAGGGGAAGGCGGAAUUCCCGGUGUAGCGGUGGAAUGCGCAGAUAUCGGGAAGAAC